RNAcentral lists this ribosomal RNA (253 nucleotides) under uncultured bacterium. Its description in RNAcentral is "partial 16S ribosomal RNA". It matches the Rfam family "Bacterial small subunit ribosomal RNA", at positions 524 to 776 of the family's 1533-position model. The record is from RNAcentral.
UACGAACCGUGCGAACGUUGUUCGGAAUCACUGGGCGUAAAGCGCGCGCAGGCGGUCUUCUACGUCUGGGGUGAAAACCCGGGGCUCAACCCCGGGACUGCCUUGGAUACGGGAAGACUUGAGGAUCGGAGAGGCAAGGGGAAUUCCACGUGUAGCGGUGAAAUGCGUAGAGAUGUGGAGGAACACCUGUGGCGAAGGCGCCUUGCUGGCCGAUUUCUGACGCUGAGGCGCGAAAGCGUGGGGAGCAAACAGG